RNAcentral lists this non-coding RNA (27 nucleotides) under Homo sapiens (human). Lineage: Eukaryota; Metazoa; Chordata; Mammalia; Primates; Hominidae. The record is from RNAcentral.
UGGAGAACUACCGUGUGUCCUUGGCUG